This 113-nucleotide non-coding RNA is filed under the name fish gut metagenome. RNAcentral's name for it is "FMN riboswitch (RFN element)". It matches the Rfam family "FMN riboswitch aptamer (RFN element)". From Rfam's summary of the family: The RFN element is a highly conserved domain that is found frequently in the 5'-untranslated regions of prokaryotic mRNAs that encode for flavin mononucleotide (FMN) biosynthesis and transport proteins. The record is from RNAcentral.
AGUCUUUGGGGCAGGGUGCGAUUCCCUACCGAUGGUUAAAGUCCAUGAACCACGAAAGUGGCCGAACUGGUGUGAUUCCAGUACCGACGGUUAUAGUCCGGAUGAGAAAAGAC